Molecule: ribosomal RNA, 657 nt
Filed under: uncultured fungus
Lineage: Eukaryota; Fungi
Description: eukaryotic LSU rRNA
Rfam family: Eukaryotic large subunit ribosomal RNA
Source: RNAcentral
CCCGCUGAACUUAAGCAUAUCAAUAAGCGGAGGAAAAGAAACUAACAAGGAUUCCCCUAGUAACUGCGAGUGAAGAGGGAAAAGCUCAAAUUUAAAAUCUGGCAGUCUUUGAUUGUCCGAGUUGUAAUUUAGAGAAGUGUUACCCGUGUUGGCCCGUGUACAAGUUUCCUGGAAUGGAACGUCAUAGAGGGUGAGAAUCCCGUCUUUGACACGGACUACCAAUGCAUUGUGGUAUGCUCUCGAAGAGUCGAGUUGUUUGGGAAUGCAGCUCUAAAUGGGUGGUAAAUUCCAUCUAAAGCUAAAUAUUGGGGAGAGACCGAUAGCGAACAAGUACCGUGAGGGAAGGAUGAAAAGAACUUUGGAAAGAGAGUUAAACAGUACGUGAAAUUGCUGAAAGGGAAACGCUUGAAGUCAGUCGCGUUAGUCGGGGAUCAGCCUUCCUUUUGGUUGGUGUACUUCCUGAUUGACGGGUCAGCAUCAGUUUUGACCGGUGGAUAAGAGCUUGAGGAAUGUGGCAUCUUCGGGUGUGUUAUAGCCUCUUGUUGUAUACAUCGGUUGGGACUGAGGAACUCAGCACACCGCAAGGCCGGGUUUUUAACCACGUACGUGCUUAGGAUGCUGGCAUAAUGGCUUUAAUCGACCCGUCUUGAAACACGG